GACGAACGCUGGCGGCGUGCUUAACACAUGCAAGUCGAACGGAUCUCAUCUGCGGAAAUUUUCGAAUGGAAGCAGAUAAGGUUAGUGGCGGACGGGCGAGUAACGCGUGGGUAACCUGGCCUUAUUACGGGGACAACAGCUGGAAACGGCUGCUAAUACCGGAUAAGCUCAGCGGAUGGCAUCAUCUGCUGAGGAAAGAAGGCCUCUGGAACAAGCUAUCGAAUAAGGAUGGACCCGCGUCUGAUUAGCUAGUUGGUGAGAUAAUAGCCCACCAAGGCGACGAUCAGUAGCCGGCCUGAGAGGGUGGCCGGCCACACUGGGACUGAGACACGGCCCAGACUCCUACGGGAGGCAGCAGUGGGGAAUCUUCCGCAAUGGGCGCAAGCCUGACGGAGCAACGCCGCGUGAGUGAAGAAGGCCUUCGGGUCGUAAAGCUCUGUCUUUAGGGAAGAAUAUCCUAUAUGUAAAUAAUGUAUAGGACUGACGGUACCUGAGGAGGAAGCUCCGGCUAACUACGUGCCAGCAGCCGCGGUAAUACGUAGGGAGCAAGCGUUGUCCGGAAUUACUGGGCGUAAAGGGCGCGUAGGCGGGAAUUUAAGUCAGAUGUGAAAACUCCGGGCUCAACCUGGAGCGUGCAUUUGAAACUGGAUUUCUUGAGGGCAGGAGAGGAAAGUGGAAUUCCUAGUGUAGCGGUGAAAUGCGUAGAUAUUAGGAGGAACACCAGUGGCGAAGGCGACUUUCUGGACUGUACCUGACGCUGAGGCGCGAAAGCGUGGGGAGCGAACAGGAUUAGAUACCCUGGUAGUCCACGCUGUAAACGAUGAAUACUAGGUGUAGGAGGUAUCGACCCCUUCUGUGCCGCAGUUAACACAAUAAGUAUUCCGCCUGGGGAGUACGGCCGCAAGGUUG
This 909-nucleotide ribosomal RNA is filed under the name uncultured bacterium. RNAcentral's name for it is "bacterial SSU rRNA". It matches the Rfam family "Bacterial small subunit ribosomal RNA", at positions 28 to 896 of the family's 1533-position model. The record is from RNAcentral.